Molecule: long non-coding RNA, 956 nt
Organism: Bactrocera dorsalis (oriental fruit fly)
Lineage: Eukaryota; Metazoa; Arthropoda; Insecta; Diptera; Tephritidae
Exons: 4
Source: RefSeq, a predicted model, not a curated record
GCCUUUGUAAAUAACACCGGACAGCUGCUUCGCGCAUUUUUUGUGCGUCGUUCGGAAAUGAGUUUACGGGUUGAUUAUACAAAUUUGUUUGAAUAUACAAAAAAAUAAUCGAAAUAUAGUAUAAAAAUGAGCUAACCACAGGAUUCAGCAGCAAAUACAUGCACAGCACAGGGCCUGCUGCUAAACAUUGAAAUAUGCUUGCUAUGGAGGAAGUCGUUACAGAAGGCAAGCGAAAUGACAGCUAGAACGCCACAUCAUUUACCGAGUGUAUGUAUAAAAGCUAUUGCAACUCAAUGUUUGUGUGCAAAACUGCCGAAAGUUGAUAAUUCCAUACAUUUUGAACUUCUUUUGUACAAAUUUAAUGAGGAACAUUGCAAAUUCAAUUAAUAAACGGCAAGCGGCUGGGUGACCGACCGCAGCCUGGACAUCUGCAGCCUAGGGUUCGAUAAAACACCAUUUCAGGUUACAUUUUGCUGCGGCAUUUGUAAUUUACAUGUUAAGCAUCACUCGUGCAGUGCCUGGUGAUUGCAGUUUGCAUAAAUUAAACAUCGUUAUGAAUUUUUAUGAUAAUUCCUAUGCACUACGCGAUAUAUUUAAGCUGUGUUAUGAAGAGCAAGUUGUUGCGGCAGUAAUUAAAUUGUACGGCUGGCGAAAAUGUGCAAUAUUAAGUGCGGAAUGUUUAAAUUUAUCGAUUGCAUGUGUAAAUUAAAAGCGUAAAAAUUAAACAAGAAUAAAUAAAUGAAAAGUAAAAUAUUAUUACCAAGGCUUUAUCAGUUAUACUUCAAAAAAAUUACAUCAUAUACAUAGUUACAUUACAUCUAUAAGAACAUUUCAUCAGCUCAUAGUGUUAAGAAAAUAUCACGGUAAGUUUUAAUGUUUGUUUUUUUUUUAUAAAUUUCUUCAAAUAUUUUGUAGUUAUUGCCUAACACUCAUGUAAAUUUGCCACCUCACUGUUA